AUUGAACGCUGGCGGCAGGCCUAACACAUGCAAGUCGAACGGUAACAGGAAGCAGCUUGCUGCUUUGCUGACGAGUGGCGGACGGGUGAGUAAUGUCUGGGAAACUGCCUGAUGGAGGGGGAUAACUACUGGAAACGGUAGCUAAUACCGCAUAACGUUGCAAGACCAAAGAGGGGGACCUUCGGGCCUCUUGCCAUCGGAUGUGCCCAGAUGGGAUUAGCUAGUAGGUGGGGUAACGGCUCACCUAGGCGACGAUCCCUAGCUGGUCUGAGAGGAUGACCAGCCACACUGGAACUGAGACACGGUCCAGACUCCUACGGGAGGCAGCAGUGGGGAAUAUUGCACAAUGGGCGCAAGCCUGAUGCAGCCAUGCCGCGUGUAUGAAGAAGGCCUUCGGGUUGUAAAGUACUUUCAGCGGGGAGGAAGGGAGUAAAGUUAAUACCUUUGCUCAUUGACGUUACCCGCAGAAGAAGCACCGGCUAACUCCGUG
Molecule: ribosomal RNA, 490 nt
Filed under: uncultured bacterium
Lineage: Bacteria
Description: partial 16S ribosomal RNA
Rfam family: Bacterial small subunit ribosomal RNA
Source: RNAcentral